RNAcentral lists this ribosomal RNA (367 nucleotides) under uncultured bacterium. RNAcentral describes it as "bacterial SSU rRNA". It matches the Rfam family "Bacterial small subunit ribosomal RNA", at positions 29 to 416 of the family's 1533-position model. The record is from RNAcentral.
AACGAACGCUGGCGGCAUGCCUAACACAUGCAAGUCGAACGAGACCUUCGGGUCUAGUGGCGCACGGGUGCGUAACGCGUGGGAAUCUGCCCUUGGGUUCGGAAUAACAGUUAGAAAUGACUGCUAAUACCGGAUAAUGUCUUCGGACCAAAGAUUUAUCGCCCAGGGAUGAGCCCGCGUAGGAUUAGCUAGUUGGUGAGGUAAAGGCUCACCAAGGGCGACGAUCCUUAGCUGGUCUGAGAGGAUGAUCAGCCACACUGGGACUGAGACACGGCCCAGACUCCUACGGGAGGCAGCAGUGGGGGAAUAAUUGGGACAAUGGGCGAAAAGCCUGAUCCAGCAAAUGCCGCGUGAAGUGAUGAAGGCC